Molecule: small RNA, 194 nt
Filed under: uncultured Clostridium sp.
Lineage: Bacteria; Bacillati; Bacillota; Clostridia; Eubacteriales; Clostridiaceae
Description: FuFi-1 RNA
Rfam family: FuFi-1 RNA
Source: RNAcentral
AGGCUAUAUGCAGAACUGAAACUGCGUAAGUGAUGGUGUUUUCAUAGAAGCAUUAGGUCGCAUCUGAUGUAGCAAUAGAUGAAUGAGUGGAUACACAGAAGAUUAAGUUCUUCGCUGUAAUUUAUUGCUUGCAGACUCAUAGGGUAAACAAAUUCAGGCAAACGCUGUUGGUAAUGCGACUAUCAUCAGCGUUU